This 248-nucleotide long non-coding RNA is filed under the name Elaeis guineensis (African oil palm). Its description in RNAcentral is "long non-coding RNA (EGUI_LNC024277)". Lineage: Eukaryota; Viridiplantae; Streptophyta; Magnoliopsida; Arecales; Arecaceae. The record is from RNAcentral.
GAGUGGUGGUGGUCAAAAGGUGGUUUUCCACGUCAAUGGUGGUUAGAGAAUGGUAUUCCAUAUUGCCGAUAGGGUUAGCCAGCAACAAAGAAGAAGAAAAAGAGAAAUAGAAGAGAUCCUCAUGUUCUAUAGAAUCCAGAGACUUGCCUGCUUAAUUUAGGCAUUGACGAUGGCCCAGGAACCCAAAAAAUGAAAAAGAGGGGGACAUUUAGCAACCAUAUCUUGCCUCCAAUGAGACCUCAUGGCUG